Molecule: ribosomal RNA, 773 nt
Filed under: uncultured bacterium
Lineage: Bacteria
Description: bacterial SSU rRNA
Rfam family: Bacterial small subunit ribosomal RNA
Source: RNAcentral
UGGGUGAAGUGGCGAAGGGUGAGUAAUGCAUAGACAACCAACCUUCGACUUCGGGAUAACUGAGGGAAGCUUCAGCUAAAACCGAAUAGGCUCGCUGGGAUUUAUGUUUCGGCGAGUAAAGGGGGCCUCUCAACGAUGCUGUCGGUUGAAGACGGGUCUAUGUCCUAUCAGCUUGAUGGUGAGGUAAUGGCUCACCAUGGCAAUAACGGGUAGCCGACCUGAGAGGGUGACCGGCCACACUGGGACUGAGACACUGCCCAGACUCCUACGGGAGGCUGCAGUCGAGAAUCUUCCGCAAUGGGGGCAACCCUGACGGAGCGACGCCGCGUGCGGGAUGAAGGCCUUCGGGUUGUAAACCGCUGUCACAGGUUAGGAACGGAUCCGGUGUUAAUAGCUCCGGGUUUUGACAAAGGCCUGAGAGGAAGCCACGGCUAACUUCGUGCCAGCAGCCGCGGUAAGACGAAGGUGGCAACCGUUGUUCGGAAUCACUGGGCAUAAAGCGCACGUAGGCGGGACAGCAAGUCGGGUGUGAAAUCCCUCGGCCCAACCGAGGAACUGCGCCCGAAACUGCUGUUCUUGAGGACAGAAGGGGAGCGUGGAAUUCCUGGUGGAGCGGUGAAAUGCGUUGAUAUCAGGAGGAACACCGGCGGCGAAGGCGACGCUCUGGUCUGUUUCUGACGCUAAGGUGCGAAAGCCAGGGGAGCAAACGGGAUUAGAUACCCCGGUAGUCCUGGCCGUAAACGAUGGGUACUAGUAGGCGGGUUUCCAAUGCC